UCGGACGUGGUGCACGGUGCACGCCCGCUGACGGUAGCCGGUCACAAUAAAUUUGAAGUGUGAGGACUGGGUUCGAUUCCCAGCGUCCGAA
Non-coding RNA from Mycena leptocephala, 91 nucleotides. NCBI's taxonomy places the organism in Eukaryota, Fungi, Basidiomycota, Agaricomycetes, Agaricales, Mycenaceae. The record is from the annotation of a GenBank genome assembly.